GAUGAACGCUGGCGGCGUGCCUAAUACAUGCAAGUCGAGCGAACAGACGAGGAGCUUGCUCCUCUGACGUUAGCGGCGGACGGGUGAGUAACACGUGGAUAACCUACCUAUAAGACUGGGAUAACUUCGGGAAACCGGAGCUAAUACCGGAUAAUAUAUUGAACCGCAUGGUUCAAUAGUGAAAGACGGUUUUGCUGUCACUUAUAGAUGGAUCCGCGCCGCAUUAGCUAGUUGGUAAGGUAACGGCUUACCAAGGCAACGAUGCGUAGCCGACCUGAGAGGGUGAUCGGCCACACUGGAACUGAGACACGGUCCAGACUCCUACGGGAGGCAGCAGUAGGGAAUCUUCCGCAAUGGGCGGAAGCUUGACGGAGCAACGCCGCGUGAGUGAUGAAGGUCUUCGGAUCGUAAAACUCUGUUAUUAGGGAAGAACAAAUGUGUAAGUAACUAUGCACGUCUUGACGGUACCUAAUCAGAAAGCCAAGGCUAACUACGUG
RNAcentral lists this ribosomal RNA (497 nucleotides) under uncultured bacterium. Its description in RNAcentral is "partial 16S ribosomal RNA". It matches the Rfam family "Bacterial small subunit ribosomal RNA", at positions 28 to 507 of the family's 1533-position model. The record is from RNAcentral.